Ostrinia nubilalis (European corn borer) is the source of this 3485-nucleotide RNA transcript. It is a transcript of the gene named sepiapterin reductase, with no coding region annotated. The record is from RefSeq and is a predicted model, not a curated record. NCBI's taxonomy places the organism in Eukaryota, Metazoa, Arthropoda, Insecta, Lepidoptera, Crambidae. The transcript has 5 exons.
UCAUGUCGGUGCGGCCUUGCUGCUGCUUUUGUCAUUUUUUGAUUUUGCAUUUUUCUUGUGAUCAGCGUUUAUUCUAAUUGUUUUAAUUGGCUUUCGGCCUCCAAGCAAGUAGAUUGAUGGAUCCUUGGGGCUGCGAAGUGGAAUCCGCUGUUGUUGAGUCGAAGUUUGAGGACAACUUUACGCCUUCUCAAGGAUUCACGAAGCUGUCAGACUCAGCGCAAUAUCUUGCCGUUUUAGAAAGGAAACUUCAAGUGGUGCGUUCACAGAACAAAGUGCUGGAAAACCUGUCAGCGUACAGGGAGGAUUGUAUCAACCGGUUGAUGCGCGACGGCUGUGACCUGGACCCUGUGAUCGGCGACACCGAAGCUGAGAAACUGUUACAAGAAUAAACAUAACCUUUAACCUCUUAGCAUCAUGACGGCGGCUCGUAAAAGCCUGUUCAUCUUCCUGAUGGGGCUGGCGUGGCGCUGCCGGUACAGCAUGCCGCUACUGCUCAGCGGUACUGUGGCCAUACUGGGCCGCGCUUGGAUGUUCCAGAUUCGCGUGCAGACUGUGCAUCGCCUGCACGAAUCCGAGGUGAGUGAGAGUCGAUUUUAUUCCUAUGUCGCACAAGGCGUGAAAUUCCAUGAGUGAUAGUCCAAGAGUCCAAGGAAGAUCCACGCGAAGUUCAGCUCUAUUCUUGUUCAGCGUUCAAACUCUCAUGUGCGUGAAUGUCUAAAAGUGAAAGCCCAUGAGUCCAAUGUGAGCCCGCGAGUUCCAGCUGUUUCUAUCUAGCACAAGAGGUGAAACUCCACGAGUCUUAGGUCAGCUAGAGAUGCUGCUCAGCGGUACUGUGGCCAUACUGGGCCGCGCUUGGAUGUUCCAGAUUCGCGUGCAGACUGUGCAUCGCCUGCACGAAUCCGAGUUAGCAUACUACGACGACGACGAAAUAAUGGAGGAGGAAGAGGAUUACACUUGGGAGGAGGAGUCCACCGACUCCUGGGAGACCAUCGUCGAGGAGGUCGCGUAUGGAUGACCCCCGCUUAUCGUCAGGUCGGGCAUACACUUCCGAAGCCAUGACCGUGACGUAUAAACCAAAAGCAAAUUUAAAUUUGAACUCUAUCACUUUGUGCUGUCCGUCUAAUGUAGUUUGUAGUUGUGAGUAUGUCGCAGCCGACUGACGAAACUAGCCAGUUGGUUGAAUGGCUAGCUCGUUUGUGAAACGCCGCCAUUUAAAUGUCUAAAGAUUUACUUACCGCGAUUGUUGAACGCAAUGCUUAACGAGCUGACUUAUUGUCGAAUUAUUAGUCGUUGGUAUUUUUUUGUAUUACACAUUUUAAUGAAAAAAUAUCGUGAAAUCUGACCAUUCUAAGUUUUACUUAUUUAACUUAAUUAUUUUUGACUCAAGGCAAUAAUAAACAAAUAUAAAACUGUUUCAAGUUCCCAAAACCAUACAUUUUUGAGUUUGAUGACUGCUAACCCUCCAUCUGACAAAAUUUUAACUAAAAAAUUACCCGGCUGCUUUGUUCGGCGUUUUCCAAAAGGCUAGCUUUUUAUUAACUACAUAAUUCCAUAAUACGUUGUCUGCUGAUCGUUUAACAAUCGGCCUAAGUACCUUCUUGUUCAUCCAACAAUCUGCCUAGGCAUUCAAUUAAAUACCGGCAUUUAAUAAAUGAGCUAGCCAGUCGAUUAACUGGCUGAUUCAACUACUUGGCUGCGACAUAUUAUUAUUAUAUUAUUGUCACUCAUCGUGAAAUUAAAAAACACAUCUUUAAGCUAUUCGAUUACAACUUAAAGUAACUGGAAGUAUAAAAACAUUACUUAAAAUUUUAUUAUUCUGACUGUAGUUUGUUUAGUCAUAACUCAUAAUUUUGUUCGGGAUUCGACUUUGGUUUAAAAAUGUGUUUACUAGAAAAUAAUGACGUUAUAAAAAUUAAUCUUGUAUAAUUAGAAUAACAGUAGAAGAUAGUAGUCUAAAAUCUAACUGUGUGAUCAUAUUAACGUAAAUUGAUCUCACGUUUCCAAAAUAUUUCGAAUAGGAUAAAUAUUUGUUGGUCACUAUGACUUUGUAGGUAACCCUUGCAUCUAUUUUGGUAUAAUAAUAUUACUUACAAGUUUAUAACCAGUACUUUUAAAAGUAAUAGUAAUGUAGUAUUCAUAAUCACUUUUUCCUGUACAUUAUACAUUUUAAUGUUAUUUAGUUUUUUAUUAAAAUGCUAUAAAAUACAAAAAUAUUCGUAUAAAAUAUUACCAACUUAACUUUUCAUUUGUAUUCUAAGUGGUGUAAGUUUGGUGGAGGAAUAUUGGUUACUCACGACCAAAAAAGAGCUAAAAAUAACCACUAAAAUGCAGAUAUAAAAAAUUCCAAGUAAGUGUUUAACCGAACUUCAAAUUGUAAAGUUUGUACGUCUGUUAGAUGUAGUUGGAUGGCAUUAAUGGAAUUUAUAUGUGACAAAACUAAACUUCCAGUGGCAAUGGUUUGUAAAAUCUAUAGAUAUAAUUAAUAUUAUGUAAUUUAAAAUAUUUUAUAGGACCUACUACACUUCUGGACACAUCUACUGGCCCACCUUAGAGUUUAAGUUUCGAUGGCCCCUACCAAAAUAUGAUUGCUAGAUUGAACAAAAACUGUUGAUGCAGUUUUAAACCUGAUACAUUUUACCAUCUUUUUCGAUCUUAUUGUUUUAAAUUUGAAUUCAGAAUACCAUACGACAUGGAGCUACGCCUAAGUAGAUGUGUCCAGAAGUGUAUUGUACUGAAAUUCAAGCGUAUAGAUUUAUCUAUGAUUAACGUAGUGUAGAUGGUACGGCUGUCCUUUUGCUCGACUUGGCGACGGCUCUGCCGUGCCCCCAGAUAGUGUAAAACUAGCAUAGUAAAAAUCUAGAUUUUAGUGCGAUUAAAUAACAAAUGUGUAGGAAGUGCUGUCGAUUGUAAUAACAAUUUAAGAUAAGUUUAAUAAAAUUUUAAAAUUGGUGAUAAAUAUUUAUUUUGAUGUUACAUAAUGAAUUAAUGUAGAGAUAGUUAAGGUCCAGUUUCAAUAGUGAUACUUGAUUGGUAAAUAUAACAUUGUUUACAUUUUUUAAACUGCAAUUUAUAAAGAUCGAACUAUACUUAUCUACUCACUGUAGCUCCAUGAUUUAUAAUAAUGACAUAGAUAAUAUCUUUGUAAAUUAAAUAAUGUUUCUUGACAAUCUGUCGGCGAAUUUUGUAGAAUUAGGGCCUUUGAAUAAGACGGUGGCUCGGCUUGGUUGGACUUUUCAAAAACCCUAUUUUGGAUUUAAAAAAUGUAAUAUUUCUUCUCGAUUCAAUUUGGCUCGAAAGUUUUGAACUUAACCGUCAGUAUUAGUGUUACCAAUAUAAUAAUUACUUACGUGCAAGUAAAUUAUUUUUAAAUUCGACAGCUUAUUCCCACAUUAUUUAAAAUUAUUUGUUAGUUAUAUGUUUGAAGGUGAAAUGGGCUGUGUGUUAAAUAAGGCAUUAAUAAAAAGACGUUUGGUAAAAUGGAAUAA